GAUGAACGCUGGCGGCGUGCCUAAUACAUGCAAGUCGAGCGAACAGACGAGGAGCUUGCUCCUCUGACGUUAGCGGCGGACGGGUGAGUAACACGUGGAUAACCUACCUAUAAGACUGGGAUAACUUCGGGAAACCGGAGCUAAUACCGGAUAAUAUAUUGAACCGCAUGGUUCAAUAGUGAAAGACGGUUUUGCUGUCACUUAUAGAUGGAUCCGCGCCGCAUUAGCUAGUUGGUAAGGUAACGGCUUACCAAGGCAACGAUGCGUAGCCGACCUGAGAGGGUGAUUGGCCACACUGGAACUGAGACACGGUCCAGACUCCUACGGGAGGCAGCAGUAGGGAAUCUUCCGCAAUGGGCGAAAGCCUGACGGAGCAACGCCGCGUGAGUGAUGAAGGUCUUCGGAUCGUAAAACUCUGUUAUUAGGGAAGAACAAAUGUGUAAGUAACGAUGCACGUCUUGACGGUACCUAAGCAGAAAGCCACGGCUAACUACGU
RNAcentral lists this ribosomal RNA (496 nucleotides) under uncultured bacterium. Its description in RNAcentral is "partial 16S ribosomal RNA". It matches the Rfam family "Bacterial small subunit ribosomal RNA", at positions 28 to 506 of the family's 1533-position model. The record is from RNAcentral.